Molecule: ribosomal RNA, 1549 nt
Filed under: Sulfobacillus sp. CBAR13
Lineage: Bacteria; Bacillati; Bacillota; Clostridia; Eubacteriales; Clostridiales Family XVII. Incertae Sedis
Description: bacterial SSU rRNA
Rfam family: Bacterial small subunit ribosomal RNA
Source: RNAcentral
GACAGCAUCAAUGAUGUCAGCAGAUAAACGAGUCAUGGAGAGUUUGAUCCUGGCUCAGGACGAACGCUGGCGGCGUGCGUAAUACAUGCAAGUCGAGCGGACCUUCGGGUCAGCGGCGGACGGGUGAGGAACACGUGAGUCAUCGGGCUGUGAGUGGGGGAUAUCGGGCCGAAAGGCGCGGCAAUCCCGCAUACGUUCCGGGGAACCGGAAGAAAGCUUGGCAACAGGCGCUCACAGGGGAGCUCGCGGCCCAUUAGCUAGUUGGGGGGGUAACGGCCUCCCAAGGCGACGAUGGGUAGCCGGCCUGAGAGGGUGAACGGCCACACUGGGACUGAGACACGGCCCAGACUCCUACGGGAGGCAGCAGUAGGGAAUCUUCCACAAUGGGCGCAAGCCUGAUGGAGCAACGCCGCGUGAGUGAAGACGGCCUUCGGGUUGUAAAGCUCUGUCUGUCGGGACGAAGACCGGCCCGCGAGGGCCGGGGAGCCGGUACCGACGGAGGAAGCCCCUGCAAACUACGUGCCAGCAGCCGCGGUAAGACGUAGGGGGCAAGCGUUGUCCGGAAUUACUGGGCGUAAAGGGCGUGUAGGCGGUGCGAUACGUAGCGGUUUUAAGCCUCCGGCUCACCCGGAGGAGGGCGGCUAAACGGUCGCGCUGGAGGGCAGGAGAGGUGCGUGGAAUUCCUGGUGGAGCGGUGAAAUGCGUAGAGAUCAGGAAGAACACCCGUGGCGAAGGCGGCGCACUGGCCUGGCCCUGACGCUGAGGCGCGACAGCGUGGGGAGCGAACGGGAUUAGAUACCCCGGUAGUCCACGCCGUAAACGAUGGGUACUAGGUGUCGCCCGGGUCCACCGGGCGGUGCCGGAGCUAACGCACUAAGUACCCCGCCUGGGGAGUACGGCCGCAAGGUUGAAACUCAAAGGAAUUGACGGGGGCCCGCACAAGCAGUGGAGCAUGUGGUUUAAUUCGACGCAACGCGCAGAACCUUACCAGGACUGGACACGCGCGUGAGCGCCGCGAAAGCGGCGGGCCCUUCGGGGAGCGCGCGCAGGUGCUGCAUGGUUGUCGUCAGCUCGUGUCGUGAGAUGUUGGGUUAAGUCCCGCAACGAGCGCAACCCUUGUCGUGUGUUGCCAGCGGUGCGGCCGGGCACUCACACGAGACUGCCGGUGACAAACCGGAGGAAGGUGGGGAUGACGUCAAAUCCGCAUGGCCUUGAUGUUCUGGGCUACACACGUGCUACAAUGGUCCCGACAACGGGAUGCGACGGCGCGAGCCGGAGCCAAUCCUUCAAACGGGAUCUCAGUUCGGAUUGCAGGCUGCAACUCGCCUGCAUGAAGCCGGAAUUGCUAGUAAUCGCCCAUCAGCAUGGGGCGGUGAAUUCGUUCCCGGGCCUUGUACACACCGCCCGUCACACCACGAGAGUCGGCCACACCCGAAGCCGGGCGAUCCAACCGCAACCGCGGAGGGUCCCGUCGACGGUGGGGUCGGUGAUUGGGGUGAAGUCGUAACAAGGUAGCCGUAUCGGAAGGUGCGGCUGGAUCACCUCCUUU